GGAGUUAGUGGCGGACGGGUGAGUAACACGUGGGAACGUGCCUUUUGGUUCGGAAUAGCUCCUGGAAACGGGUGGUAAUACCGAAUGUGCCCUUCGGGGGAAAGAUUUAUCGCCAUUAGAGCGGCCCGCGUCUGAUUAGCUAGUUGGUGAGGUAAAGGCUCACCAAGGCUACGAUCAGUAGCUGGUCUGAGAGGAUGACCAGCCACAUUGGGACUGAGACACGGCCCAAACUCCUACGGGAGGCAGCAG
RNAcentral lists this ribosomal RNA (249 nucleotides) under Caulobacter sp. RNAcentral's name for it is "partial 16S Ribosomal RNA". It matches the Rfam family "Bacterial small subunit ribosomal RNA", at positions 88 to 354 of the family's 1533-position model. Lineage: Bacteria; Pseudomonadati; Pseudomonadota; Alphaproteobacteria; Caulobacterales; Caulobacteraceae. The record is from RNAcentral.